This is a long non-coding RNA of Jatropha curcas, 571 nucleotides long. RefSeq lists it as uncharacterized. NCBI's taxonomy places the organism in Eukaryota, Viridiplantae, Streptophyta, Magnoliopsida, Malpighiales, Euphorbiaceae. The record is from RefSeq and is a predicted model, not a curated record.
UUUUUUUUUGUGUGUCGUACAAGAUGAGACACUAAAAUAAUUAAUGACGGUCGUCGUUCACUAUUGAGAGAGAGGACCACACCAUCGGAAACAUUCUUCGCAUACAGUUGCACAAGAGACGAAAAUGUUCUCUUUGCAGGCUACAAGCUUCCUUAUCCUCUCCAAUAUAAAAUCCUUGUUAGGAUUCACACGACUAGCCAGUCUUCGCCAAGCAAGUAUAUAACCAAGCUAUCAAUGAUCUAGACAAGGAACUUGACCAUUUGAAGAACGCAUUUGAGUACCAACUUAGCAAUCCAGAGGGCUGAGAUGUCGAAGUUUUCUCAGUACUACUAGCUCGCGGAUUAGUUGAUUGCGUUUGAUGGCAAUUUGGAUAAAGACAAUGAUUUCGAUGGGUUUUGUCAGUGCUGGUUGUAAUUAAGUAAUGGGAUGGGUUUUGUCAGUGCUGGUUGUAAUUAAGUAAUGGGUUGUAGGAGAUGAUCAAAUGUUAAAUUUUAAUUGUGACAAAUUUUAAUCAACUUAUGUCAUCCUGAUCUGUUUGUCUUAACGAGACCUUAUUAAACCUUUCCUUGGA